GCUUGUUCUCAUUCGGUUUGCAGAUUAAAUUGGAGCCAAUCCCAAAAGUGAGAAUGACUAAAGAGACUAUAUGUAUGUUGAUGUGAAAAUUCAAUAUCUCGAGUAGUCUUUCGUAAAUGUAAGGUUGGUAUUUUAUUUCUUAUAACGUCAACCGCCGUGCACCAAAAAGUGUGAAGAUGAAAUGAAAGAAUCAAUAGUUUAAUUUGGCGACUGUGCGAAUGAGAGAGGCAUAGCCGCGCAAAGAGCCAAAAGCGCCGUAAAAAUGCAAGCAAAGCAGGCAAUUGCAACUCGAAUACAUCCCUCCCUCUAAUUGACCUCGCAUACACACCCAACCCACACUUUUAUAACCAUUAAGACAAUUGCAUUCUUUUUAAUUAUGCCGUUACGCGCACUUCCGAGCCGCUCCUGAACGCAUCAUUAGACUCCAAUGCACGCACGCAAACGCAGCAGGUGUUCCGACGUACGUAAUGACGCUGGUCGCUGCUGAGCCGACCUAAUGUUCAGCAAACAAGCCAUGGUCGCGUGGGGUGUUGGAGCCGAUCCCAGAUGUCUUCGGGCAGUAGACGGGGGACACCCUGAACCGGUUGCCAGCCAAUCGCAGUCUUCCCUUCUGCGUUUCCUCUUCAGCUCUGCUUUGAAGUCCUGGUGCCAGCCCCAAAACCAAGCUCCCUGAAC
This is a long non-coding RNA of Hippocampus zosterae (dwarf seahorse), 675 nucleotides long. RefSeq lists it as uncharacterized. The record is from RefSeq and is a predicted model, not a curated record. The transcript has 3 exons. NCBI's taxonomy places the organism in Eukaryota, Metazoa, Chordata, Actinopteri, Syngnathiformes, Syngnathidae.